Cebus imitator (Panamanian white-faced capuchin) is the source of this 763-nucleotide RNA transcript. It is a transcript of the gene named HLA class II histocompatibility antigen, DR beta 4 chain-like, with no coding region annotated. The record is from RefSeq and is a predicted model, not a curated record. The transcript has 5 exons. Lineage: Eukaryota; Metazoa; Chordata; Mammalia; Primates; Cebidae.
AUGGGACCUGUGGAGCCUAAGGUGACUGUGUAUCCUGCAAAGACCCAGCCCCUGCAGCACCACAACCUCCUGAUCUGCUCUGUGAGUGGGUUCUAUCCAGGCAGCAUUGAAGUCAGGUGGUUCCGGAAUGACCAGGAAGAGAGGCUGAGGUGGUGUUCACAGGCUUGAUCCAGAAUGGAGACUGGACCUUCCAGACCCUGGUGAUGCUGGAAACAGUUCCUCAGAGUGGAGAGGCUUACAUCUGCCAAGUGGAGCACCCAAGCGUAAUGAGCCCUCUCACAGUGCAAUGGAGAGCACAGUCUGAAUCUGCACAGAGCAAGAUGCUGAGCGGAGUCGGGGGCUUUGUUCUGGGCCUGCUCUUCCUUGGCACAGGGCUGUUCAUCUACUUCAGGAAUCAGAAAGGACACUCUGGACUUCAGCCAACAGGACUCUUGAGCUGAAGUGAAGAUGACCACAUUCAAGGAAGAACCUUCUGCCCCAGCUUUGCAGGAUUAAAAACUUUCCCACUUGGCUCUUAUUCUUCCACAAGAGAGAGCUUUCUCAGGACCUGGUUGCUAUUGGUUCAGCAACUCAGCAGAAAAUGACUCCUUUGUGGCUUCCUGAACUCCUGCCCUUGUCCUGAAGUCCCAGCAUUGAUGGCAGUGCCUCAUCUUCAAUUUUUAUGCUCCCCUUUACCUAACCCUUCAUGCCUCCCCUGCAUCUGUACUCACCCUGUGCCACAAACACAUUACAUUAUUACAUUUUUCUCAAACAUGGAGUUAAA